UACGAAGGGGGCUAGCGUUGUUCGGAAUUACUGGGCGUAAAGCGCGCGCAGGCGGUCCUUCAAGUCAGGGGUGAAAGCCCAGGGCUCAACCCUGGAAUGGCCUUUGAGACUAGAGGACUUGGGUACGGGAGAGGUGAGCGGAAUUCCGAGUGUAGAGGUGAAAUUCGUAGAUAUUCGGAGGAACACCAGUGGCGAAGGCGGCUCACUGGCCCGUUACCGACGCUCAGGCGCGACAGCGUGGGGAGCAAACAGG
This 253-nucleotide ribosomal RNA is filed under the name uncultured bacterium. RNAcentral describes it as "partial 16S ribosomal RNA". It matches the Rfam family "Bacterial small subunit ribosomal RNA", at positions 524 to 776 of the family's 1533-position model. The record is from RNAcentral.